This 373-nucleotide ribosomal RNA is filed under the name uncultured bacterium. RNAcentral's name for it is "bacterial SSU rRNA". It matches the Rfam family "Bacterial small subunit ribosomal RNA", at positions 527 to 898 of the family's 1533-position model. The record is from RNAcentral.
GGGGGGGGCAAGCGUUGUUCGGAAUUACUGGGCGUAAAGGGCUCGUAGGCGGCCAAUUAAGUCAGACGUGAAAUCCCUCGGCUUAACCGGGGAACUGCGUCUGAUACUGGAUGGCUUGAGUUUGGGAGAGGGAUGCGGAAUUCCAGGUGUAGCGGUGAAAUGCGUAGAUAUCUGGAGGAACACCGGUGGCGAAGGCGGCAUCCUGGACCAACACUGACGCUGAUGAGCGAAAGCCAGGGGAGCAAACGGGAUUAGAUACCCCGGUAGUCCUGGCCCUAAACGAUGAAUGCUUGGUGUGACGGGUAUCGAUCCCUGUCGUGCCGAAGCUAACGCAUUAAGCAUUCCGCCUGGGGAGUACGGUCGCAAGGCUGAA